AAAGACAUCACUCGCAGAAGAAGCACCGGCUAACUCCGUGCCAGCAGCCGCGGUAAUACGGAGGGUGCAAGCGUUAAUCGGAAUUACUGGGCGUAAAGCGCGCGUAGGUGGCUUGAUAAGCCGGUUGUGAAAGCCCCGGGCUCAACCUGGGAACGGCAUCCGGAACUGUCAAGCUAGAGUGCAGGAGAGGAAGGUAGAAUUCCCGGUGUAGCGGUGAAAUGCGUAGAGAUCGGGAGGAAUACCAGUGGCGAAGGCGGCCUUCUGGACUGACACUGACACUGAGGUGCGAAAGCGUGGGUAGCAAACAGGAUUAGAUACCCUGGUAGUCCACGCCGUAAACGAUGUCGACCAGCCGUUGGGUGCCUAGCGCACUUUGUGGCGAAGUUAACGCGAUAAGUCGACCGCCUGGGGAGUACGGCCGCAAGGUUAAAACUCAAAUGAAUUGACGGGGGCCCGCACAAGCGGUGGAGCAUGUGGUUUAAUUCGAUGCAACGCGAAGAACCUUACCUACUCUUGACAUCCUGCGAAUUUGGUAGAGAUACCUUAGUGCCUUCGGGAACGCAGAGACAGGUGCUGCAUGGCUGUCGUCAGCUCGUGUUGUGAAAUGUUGGGUUAAGUCCCGUAACGAGCGCAACCCUUGUCCUUAUUUGCCAGCGCGUAAUGGCGGGAACUCUAAGGAGACUGCCGGUGACAAACCGGAGGAAGGUGGGGACGACGUCAAGUCAUCAUGGCCCUUACGAGUAGGGCUACACACGUGCUACAAUGGUCGGUACAAAGGGUUGCCAACUCGCGAGAGUGAGCCAAUCCCGAAAAGCCGAUCUCAGUCCGGAUCGGAGUCUGCAACUCGACUCCGUGAAGUCGGAAUCGCUAGUAAUCGUGGAUCAGAAUGCCACGGUGAAUACGUUCCCGGGCCUUGUACACACCGCCCGUCACACCAUGGGAGUGGACUGCACCAGAAGUGGUUAGCCUAACGCAAGAGGGCG
RNAcentral lists this ribosomal RNA (983 nucleotides) under Bacillus sp. 20S07-Zb4-2. RNAcentral's name for it is "bacterial SSU rRNA". It matches the Rfam family "Bacterial small subunit ribosomal RNA", at positions 468 to 1452 of the family's 1533-position model. Lineage: Bacteria; Bacillati; Bacillota; Bacilli; Caryophanales; Bacillaceae. The record is from RNAcentral.